AUUGAACGCUGGCGGCAUGCCUUACACAUGCAAGUCGAACGGCAGCACGGGAGCAAUCCUGGUGGCGAGUGGCGAACGGGUGAGUAAUAUAUCGGAACGUGCCCAGUCGUGGGGGAUAACGUAGCGAAAGCUACGCUAAUACCGCAUACGAUCUAUGGAUGAAAGCGGGGGAUCGCAAGACCUCGCGCGAUUGGAGCGGCCGAUAUCAGAUUAGGUAGUUGGUGAGGUAAAGGACUCGCCAAGCCGACGAUCUGUAGCUGGUCU
This 264-nucleotide ribosomal RNA is filed under the name uncultured bacterium. RNAcentral describes it as "partial 16S ribosomal RNA". It matches the Rfam family "Bacterial small subunit ribosomal RNA", at positions 30 to 293 of the family's 1533-position model. The record is from RNAcentral.